GGAAUUGUGGCUCGGUGGCAGAGCGCUAGCCUCACAAGUAGGAGGCACUGGGUUCGAUCCUCAGCACCA
Molecule: transfer RNA, 69 nt
Filed under: Marmota marmota marmota (Alpine marmot)
Lineage: Eukaryota; Metazoa; Chordata; Mammalia; Rodentia; Sciuridae
Also listed under: 1 other name
Rfam family: tRNA
About the family: Transfer RNA (tRNA) molecules are approximately 80 nucleotides in length. Their secondary structure includes four short double-helical elements and three loops (D, anti-codon, and T loops).
Source: Rfam by way of RNAcentral